This is a long non-coding RNA of Drosophila persimilis, 618 nucleotides long. RefSeq lists it as uncharacterized. NCBI's taxonomy places the organism in Eukaryota, Metazoa, Arthropoda, Insecta, Diptera, Drosophilidae. The transcript has 3 exons. The record is from RefSeq and is a predicted model, not a curated record.
AUCCACCUCCACUCGGGUAUAAAAUCCAAUUUAGGCGCGUAAAAAAUGAUGGCUGAGGGAAAAGGCUUAAAUGAAGGCUUAAAUCAAGAACGAAAAACGUAAAGAAAGACAAGCUUACUGCUGUGAGACUAUAAGCUGGGCGCUAAGAAUCUAUAAGACGGCGGCUGUCAAAGCUAGCUUGUAUGAAACUAUCAAAGCUGGCUAUCAACAAUUGUUAAUUUCAUUGGAGGAUAAGCUUAAUAAUACAUGUUGCGCCCAACAGCACACUAUGUGCCUUAACAGCACUCUAGCAACUGCAUUCAUGGCGCCUUAUAGCACAGAAUUCAGUGUUUUCAUAUACAAAAAACAGUCUGUUGCCAGUUGGCGGGAAAAGAAACAGGCAGAAGAAUCGUUUCUUCUGGGCCAAAUGAGAUGGCGGAUCACAAGCAGAUGAUUAUAGGUGGCGGCGAUGACGACGAAAGACGGUCUUGCCAGUCGUGUGCUCCUGAUGCUGCUGGGACGGUGGGAGUCCCAACCAAAUUGCUACGGUAGCCGCUUGCUGUUGGAUCUGGAUGAACGCGGGUGGUGAUGGUGUCAUCGAGUUGAGUUGAGAAAUUCCUCAUUGACACGGCCACCGAG